This 77-nucleotide transfer RNA is filed under the name Streptomyces avermitilis. Its description in RNAcentral is "tRNA-Gln". Lineage: Bacteria; Bacillati; Actinomycetota; Actinomycetes; Kitasatosporales; Streptomycetaceae. The record is from RNAcentral.
GACGACGCGGCCCGGUGCGACGGGUGCGGGUACUUCUGGGGUGUCUCCCUCGCAGGUUCGAAUCCUGCUGCCGGUCC